This 301-nucleotide ribosomal RNA is filed under the name uncultured bacterium. RNAcentral's name for it is "partial 16S ribosomal RNA". It matches the Rfam family "Bacterial small subunit ribosomal RNA", at positions 509 to 807 of the family's 1533-position model. The record is from RNAcentral.
CAGCCGCCGCGGGAAUACAGAGGGUGCGAGCGUUAAUCGGAUUUACUGGGCGUAAAGCGUGCGUAGGCGGCUAAUUGAGUCGGAUGUGAAAUCCCCGAGCUUAACUUGGGAAUUGCAUUCGAUACUGGUUAGCUAGAGUGUGGGAGAGGAUGGUAGAAUUCCAGGUGUAGCGGUGAAAUGCGUAGAGAUCUGGAGGAAUACCGAUGGCGAAGGCAGCCAUCUGGCCUAACACUGACGCUGAGGUACGAAAGCAUGGGGAGCAAACAGGAUUAGAUACCCGAGUAGUCCCUGUCUCUUAUAC